GUGCAUAUCAGUAGACCUCACCUUGCUAUAUCUUGGCUUGGUGAGGGGGACAGCAUAUGCUAGAGGUAAUAUGGAGUGCUGUCAGAUAACAGCCGACAGAAUAGGUGGUUUGGCUGAACUGUCAUACUCCUACAUAG
Small nucleolar RNA from Erinaceus europaeus (western European hedgehog), 137 nucleotides. The record is from Ensembl. Lineage: Eukaryota; Metazoa; Chordata; Mammalia; Eulipotyphla; Erinaceidae.